UAGUCUGGUGCCAGCAGCCGCGGUAAUACGGAGGAUGCAAGCGUUAUCCGGAAUCAUUGGGCGUAAAGCGUCCGCAGGUGGUUUCCAAAGUCUGCUGUUAAAGACUGGAGCUCAACUCCGGAACGGCGGUGGAAACUUGGAAACUAGAGUUCGGUAGGGGUAGCAGGAAUUCCCAGUGUAGCGGUGAAAUGCGUAGAUAUUGGGAAGAACAUCGGUGGCGAAGGCGUGCUACUGGACCGUAACUGACACUCAGGGACGAAAGCUAGGGGAGCGAAAGGGAUUAGAUACCCCUGUAGUCCUAGCUGUAAACGAUGGAAACUAGGUGUGGCUUGUAUCGACCCGAGCCGUGCCGUAGCUAACGCGUUAAGUUUCCCGCCUGGGGAGUACGCACGCAAGUGUGAAACUCAAAGGAAUUGACGGGGGCCCGCACAAGCGGUGGAGUAUGUGGUUUAAUUCGAUGCAACGCGAAGAACCUUACCAGGGCUUGACAUGUCGCGAAUCUCGGUGAAAGCUGAGAGUGCCUUCGGGAGCGCGAACACAGGUGGU
RNAcentral lists this ribosomal RNA (546 nucleotides) under Candidatus Atelocyanobacterium thalassae. RNAcentral's name for it is "bacterial SSU rRNA". It matches the Rfam family "Bacterial small subunit ribosomal RNA", at positions 498 to 1042 of the family's 1533-position model. The record is from RNAcentral. Lineage: Bacteria; Bacillati; Cyanobacteriota; Cyanophyceae; Chroococcales; Aphanothecaceae.